RNAcentral lists this ribosomal RNA (400 nucleotides) under uncultured bacterium. Its description in RNAcentral is "bacterial SSU rRNA". It matches the Rfam family "Bacterial small subunit ribosomal RNA", at positions 356 to 773 of the family's 1533-position model. The record is from RNAcentral.
GGGGAAUAUUGGACAAUGGGCGCAAGCCUGAUCCAGCCAUGCCGCGUGUGUGAUGAAGGCCUUAGGGUUGUAAAGCACUUUUGUCCGGGAAGAUAAUGACUGUACCGGAAGAAUAAGCCCCGGCUAACUUCGUGCCAGCAGCCGCGGUAAUACGAAGGGGGCUAGCGUUGCUCGGAAUCACUGGGCGUAAAGGGCGCGUAGGCGGACUUUUAAGUCGGGGGUGAAAGCCCAGGGCUCAACCCUGGAAUUGCCUUCGAUACUGAGGGUCUUGAGUUCGGAAGAGGUUGGUGGAACUGCGAGUGUAGAGGUGAAAUUCGUAGAUAUUCGCAAGAACACCAGUGGCGAAGGCGGCCAACUGGUCCGAUACUGACGCUGAGGCGCGAAAGCGUGGGGAGCAAAC